CGCGUAGGCGGUUCCGAAAGUGGCGUGUGAAAUCCCCCGGCUCAACCGGGGAAGUGCACGCCAAACUUCGGUUCUCGAGGACGGUAGGGGGGACUGGAACUCUCGGUGGAGCGGUGAAAUGCGUAGAUAUCGAGAGGAACACCGGCGGCGAAGGCGAGUCCCUGGUCCGUUUCUGACGCUGAGGCGCGAAAGCGUGGGUAGCAAACA
RNAcentral lists this ribosomal RNA (207 nucleotides) under uncultured bacterium. RNAcentral describes it as "partial 16S ribosomal RNA". It matches the Rfam family "Bacterial small subunit ribosomal RNA", at positions 568 to 774 of the family's 1533-position model. The record is from RNAcentral.